Molecule: transfer RNA, 72 nt
Filed under: Camelus bactrianus (Bactrian camel)
Lineage: Eukaryota; Metazoa; Chordata; Mammalia; Artiodactyla; Camelidae
Also listed under: 2 other names
Rfam family: tRNA
About the family: Transfer RNA (tRNA) molecules are approximately 80 nucleotides in length. Their secondary structure includes four short double-helical elements and three loops (D, anti-codon, and T loops).
Source: Rfam by way of RNAcentral
GGGGGCAUAGCUCAGUGCUAGAGCACAUGCUUAGCAUGCAUGAGGUCAUGGAUUCAAUCCUCAGUACCUCCA